Molecule: long non-coding RNA, 1333 nt
Organism: Oncorhynchus gorbuscha (pink salmon)
Lineage: Eukaryota; Metazoa; Chordata; Actinopteri; Salmoniformes; Salmonidae
Exons: 3
Source: RefSeq, a predicted model, not a curated record
AUCUGCCUGAAAAUGUUUCAUUGCAAGGGAAGUAGCAACAUCGUAGCUACAGUAAAAACAGCACUCGAGAUAGCCUGCUGCAUUCAUUUUAUCCACUGCUCCCUUUUUUUCCUAUGAGGGGAAUUAGCUCAAAUGGUAGAGCGCUCGCUUAGCAUGCGAGAAGUAGCGGGAUCGAUGCCCGCAUUCUCCAAAAGUUUUCCCGUCCCAGCGUGUGGCUAAAUUUAUGUAAACGUUGGCCUGUUCCCCUCCCCUUUGGCACCAGCUCCUGACACGACAAAAGAGGAUUGCUCUGAAGCGUUCCUGCUGGAUACAGAUCUGCCAAGCACACCUCUGCCACUGCCCUUGAAAGAUUCUCCACUGGGCUCAUCAAGAAAUGUGGUUGCCUUUUCAUCUUAGACCACGGCCCAUGGACAGAGCCCAUUAGAACUGCCAGUGAUGUCCUACUGGUCAAGCACCACGGGGAGGAAGUGACCCUGAAGUGGGCGGAUCUGCUUUGCUGCAGAGAGUUUGUUUGUUACUGCAGAGAGUACCGUAAUGCCACAUCCCCUUCCACCUGCACUUACACAGCAGAAAACCUCACCAAUUCAAGGAUACCAUUUGAGGAUUUUGCUGCGGCCGCCUUCUUUCAAUGGGAGCUGGAGGCCUCGAUGCAGAGGAAGGAGUGAGGAAUGGGCGAACUGAGAAAAACCUUAGAGCAGAAUCCCUCCGGCCGUCUGUACAGGUUCUACCACCAGCCGCUGAAACAAGGCCCCAACAGCCCUCACACACAUACCGGCUUUCCUUGAGUUGGAGGAAAAUAUCUACUGCCUAGCCAAAGUGUUUUCCCUGUACCUUGCCUUUUAUGAGACUGAAAGAUAGAGAUGGAUGGUGAAGAAGGGGGGGCGGGGGUGACUCUACAGACACACACACACAGAAAUAAAUAGGAGCUGAAAAUCUAUUUCCAUUAAUGGAAGUGGUUUGGACUCGUUUGAUUUGUAUUUAUUUCACAGGUACUGUCCAUUCUUUUACAUUACUGUACAUACAUUGCUGGAUAUCACUGUAUAUAUUAUUGUCCAUUACUAUUUUGUGUAAAUGUUGCACAAAGGCCAAACGUUUAUUCUGAUCGUGGUGAAUAUGUCUUGUAUUAUAAACAAAUUGCUAUAGUUAGUGUGUGAAUAAGUUUGUUGUAUUAAGGGUUGUGCUCCAACACUAUCAUAACUAUGGCUUUGAUUUCAUUCAAAUCAACCUCAAAAUAAUCUUCUCUAUGAGCUGCUUUAGAGUUGUCUUUAUGAGUAAGAUACAUGCCUUUCCAUUGUGCUCUAACACUCAUAAAUUUGCCUUUGAUUUCAUUCUA